GAUGAACGCUAGCGGCAGGCCUAACACAUGCAAGUCGAGGGGUAUAGUUCUUCGGAACUAGAGACCGGCGCACGGGUGCGUAACGCGUAUGCAAUCUACCUUUUACAGGGGAAUAGCCCAGAGAGAUUUGGAUUAAUGCCCCAUAGUGUUAUAGAAUCGCAUGGUUUUAUAACUAAAGUUCCAACGGUAAAAGAUGAGCAUGCGUCCCAUUAGUUAGUUGGUAAGGUAACGGCUUACCAAGACAAUGAUGGGUAGGGGUCCUGAGAGGGAGAUCCCCCACACUGGUACUGAGACACGGACCAGACUCCUACGGGAGGCAGCAGUGAGGAAUAUUGGACAAUGGGCGCAAGCCUGAUCCAGCCAUGCCGCGUGCAGGAAGACGGUCCUAUGGAUUGUAAACUGCUUUUGUACAGGAAAGAAACACUCCCUCGUGAGGGAGCUUGACGGUACUGUAAGAAUAAGGAUCGGCUAACUCCGUGCCAGCAGCCG
RNAcentral lists this ribosomal RNA (489 nucleotides) under uncultured bacterium. Its description in RNAcentral is "bacterial SSU rRNA". It matches the Rfam family "Bacterial small subunit ribosomal RNA", at positions 28 to 517 of the family's 1533-position model. The record is from RNAcentral.